Molecule: long non-coding RNA, 578 nt
Organism: Capsicum annuum
Lineage: Eukaryota; Viridiplantae; Streptophyta; Magnoliopsida; Solanales; Solanaceae
Exons: 2
Source: RefSeq, a predicted model, not a curated record
UUGCAGCUCUACAUUUUGCAGAUAGGGACGUCACGUGUGCAGUCGUUACUUGCGGUUUCACCUCUUCAUUUGGGAGUUGAGAACUGCGACAGAAGCAGCAAAGCUGCAGGAGCUACUACUAGUGUUUAGAAUCUGGAACCUAUGUUGCUCGGACUCUUCAAAAAGGCCAUCAAGUGUGUCGGAUCCUUCAAAAGUAGUGCAUUUUUAAAGGAUCUGACACGGGUGCGGCAACAUUUUUGAAGAGUCUGAGCAACUUAGUCUAUAACCUAGUAAACUGCUUCUUUCAAAUCUGAAACCCAUAGACUUAGAAUCCUAGCUUCGCCUCUGCACAGACGAACUUAAUUGGAGCAACAUGGAAGUAGAAAUUAUAAGCGCGAACUUCUUGCUAUGGGUUUAGGCAUUGUAGUUAUUGUAGUUGUGGCUGUACAGAAGACUAUUUAUAGAAAAGAAUUGUCUAUGUAAUGUCUUUAUGUAUAUUUAAACACCAUACUGAUGUACAUUAAUGAGGUUUAUUUGACUUGCAAAAGGGAAACUAAAGGAGCUUGUGUCAAUAAAAUGUUACCAAAAAGUUUAGAAGA